AGGCUAACAAAUUGAGGUGAGGCAGCUGGAGCGCUAGGACAGUGCCCGCACGGAGCAUGCUCAGAACCAGAGGGAAAAGGUAGCUGGGGCUGCAGCCGAGGCACCACUAACUGCUCAGGCAGCUCCGCUCAUCCAGGGGACGGGAGCGGAGAGCUCGCUUCCUUAGCAGACGGAGCGGGAUGAUUGCCUCCCUUCUGUCUGGGGAAAGCAUGAGGCACCAAGGGAGCUAUUCCUGGACACUUUUUCCUUUGUGGUCUGCCUACAUGUGCUGAAACCCUGAUUUAGGAGUGAUAAUACUUUGCAGGAUUAAGGAGGCUGCAGAUGCUCUGAAUUAAUGUUCUCUUUUGGACCCUGCCGUGUCCCGCCAUGUGCCCGAGACCGGGUGCCGCCCGCCCACCUCCACUGCCCAGGCCCGGGCCCCUGCCCCCGUCCACGCACU
RNAcentral lists this long non-coding RNA (439 nucleotides) under Ornithorhynchus anatinus (platypus). RNAcentral's name for it is "lncRNA (ENSOANG00000042873.1)". Lineage: Eukaryota; Metazoa; Chordata; Mammalia; Monotremata; Ornithorhynchidae. The record is from RNAcentral.